CUCCUCUUUGUUUUGCAGCUCUUGGAAACCUUCUUUAUGCAUUGGGUUCGGGCCAUGGUUCUCUUCCCUAUGCAAAUGUAUGUGCUCUGUUAUCUCAUGGAGCUGGAAGGAAAAUUGACAUCAAGCAUGCCGAGAGGAAAUGUUGCUCCGGUUUGGGUUGCUCUUACACACUGUGUUACUACUCCAUGCUCUCGGAUGGUCUCUGAUUGCCAGCACUGACUGAAAGGACAGGAUUUUCCCCUUCAUGAAUAACCAGCUUUUUCACGAUUCCUUUUCACUCCCUAUCAGUAUAAGAACUCGCCUGGAGAGGAGCAUCCCAGACCCCAUGGUGGAGAUGCAGCUCCACAGCCUGGAAAAGUGUCCUGCUCCCUUGCUCCGGUUUGGUGGGGGAGCAGGAAAACCCUCUUUACCUCAAACAGGCACUCUCGCACUCUUUGCUUAAGACAAAUAAUUUUUUUAUAAGGAAAAAAACCCACUCUGUCAGGCAGAUUAAAGUUUAGGUUUGGAGUAAGCCCUGCUAUUAAGUCUCCUAAGGAUUCAAAUUGGUAUUUACAUUGCAGGGCUGGAGCGGAGUACUUGGCUGUAAUAGUGACUUUCAGCUUGAUUCCAUGUUUAAGAAGUGAUAUUUUAAGGUGAAAUGUGUAAAACGCUUCUGUGGCCCCAGUCAGAACUAAAUGGAAACGGCAGGAACAGUGCAUCAGCCCCCAAGUGCAGGCACAGCAAUGUCUGUGCCGGGGCUGGUGUCACCUCCUCUGUGACCAAAGGCCUGUGGAUAUGAGGAGCUGGGGCUGCGAGCUGCAUUUUGGGGUAUUUUUACAGAUAAAACCCAUUUAGGUCAUUUCAUUUAAGUGCAAACCUGUGGCCCAUGUGGCUGUGCUGGAGCUGGAGUUGUCGCUUCUGCUGCUGCUUUGCAAAACAACGAGCCCCGGAGGUAGCUUUGGGACUGCUGCAGGCUGGGAGGUUGUUUUCAGGAAGGAAAAUUAAAAUGUGGGAUGAGAACAGCAGCCUGUGGCCUGACGUUUGCUCCUGCAAAGCUGCUUUUCCUGGGCUCUCCUUGCACAGCUGGCUAGCCAUGCAGCUUUCUUGGCACAACCAUGUAAGAGGCACCAGAGAAUCCACACAGGGGAGUGGUGAUCUGAAUGUCCUGGGCAGGGAAAAGAGCUGCCUUUUGUGAACUUGCCCUGCUGGACAUCUUGGUACCCUCUUCCCAGCUGGCUUUUCCUUUCUGGUGAGUUCUCGGGUGUUUCAUCAGGUGUGAUGCGACUUGGGCUCAAUCUCGUGUAGAUUCUCUGAUGCCUAGUAAGGACCGCAUUCCCACACAACCUUUUCCUCUGCAGGACCACCAAUUACACCUCAUUCCUCUGCAAGGCUGUGGACUCUCCCAAGUCUGUUGCAAAGUAAUUCUUCUCAAAUUCCUAUCAUUACUGUCAGAUUUGGCUGAAAUUGGCUGAUAAACUGUAAAAUUGAGAGAAGAAAUAAUCAUUUGUGGCAUGCGGUGUGUGAUUGCAGAAGCUUCUUUUCCUCAGAAAGCAAGGCUUAAAGGGAACAAAAUACAUGUUUUUUUGUUUCUGGGGAGUUCAACACGUUAAAUGGGGAGCUGACGGGGGCCGCCAGUGAUGCCGCCAGCUGCGGCAGCUCUCUGCAGGAAGCUGCAUCCAAGGACUGUUCCCAGGAUGCCCACACGGAGCCCUGAGUCUCCUGGUGCUGCCCAGCAAACCUUCCCACAGGAGCCGUGGGCCUUUGUGUGAAGUGUGACGGGUCCUUCAGCCACGUGGGAGACCCCUGGAUGGCCCCAUCAGCCCCUAAGUUUGGCCCAGCUGCUGCCGUGUGGUAGUGAAACGAAGCAAGAUGAUUAAAUCCUUGUGCUCCACAAUGCUGGAAUUGCGAAAACAGUCAAGAUCUGACUCAGAAAUAGGCUGUUGGGGAGCGCAGUGCCUUGAUGCCUCUGUCAGCGCGGGGAUGUGCCCGUGCGCGGGGGAACGCGGAGCAGCA
Molecule: long non-coding RNA, 1992 nt
Organism: Nothoprocta perdicaria
Lineage: Eukaryota; Metazoa; Chordata; Aves; Tinamiformes; Tinamidae
Exons: 3
Source: RefSeq, a predicted model, not a curated record